Molecule: ribosomal RNA, 1372 nt
Filed under: uncultured bacterium
Lineage: Bacteria
Description: bacterial SSU rRNA
Rfam family: Bacterial small subunit ribosomal RNA
Source: RNAcentral
GAUGAACGCUGGCGGCGUGCCUAGUACAUGCAAGUCGAGCGAACGGACGAGAAGCUUGCUUCUCUGAUGUUAGCGGCGGACGGGUGAGUAACACGUGGAUAACCUACCUAUAAGACUGGGAUAACUUCGGGAAACCGGAGCUAAUACCGGAUAAUAUUUUGAACCGCAUGGUUCAAAAGUGAAAGACGGUCUUGCUGUCACUUAUAGAUGGAUCCGCGCUGCAUUAGCUAGUUGGUAAGGUAACGGCUUACCAAGGCAACGAUGCAUAGCCGACCUGAGAGGGUGAUCGGCCACACUGGAACUGAGACACGGUCCAGACUCCUACGGGAGGCAGCAGUAGGGAAUCUUCCGCAAUGGGCGAAAGCCUGACGGAGCAACGCCGCGUGAGUGAUGAAGGUCUUCGGAUCGUAAAACUCUGUUAUUAGGGAAGAACAUAUGUGUAAGUAACUGUGCACAUCUUGACGGUACCUAAUCAGAAAGCCACGGCUAACUACGUGCCAGCAGCCGCGGUAAUACGUAGGUGGCAAGCGUUAUCCGGAAUUAUUGGGCGUAAAGCGCGCGUAGGCGGUUUUUUAAGUCUGAUGUGAAAGCCCACGGCUCAACCGUGGAGGGUCAUUGGAAACUGGAAAACUUGAGUGCAGAAGAGGAAAGUGGAAUUCCAUGUGUAGCGGUGAAAUGCGCAGAGAUAUGGAGGAACACCAGUGGCGAAGGCGACUUUCUGGUCUGUAACUGACGCUGAUGUGCGAAAGCGUGGGGAUCAAACAGGAUUAGAUACCCUGGUAGUCCACGCCGUAAACGAUGAGUGCUAAGUGUUAGGGGGUUUCCGCCCCUUAGUGCUGCAGCUAACGCAUUAAGCACUCCGCCUGGGGAGUACGACCGCAAGGUUGAAACUCAAAGGAAUUGACGGGGACCCGCACAAGCGGUGGAGCAUGUGGUUUAAUUCGAAGCAACGCGAAGAACCUUACCAAAUCUUGACAUCCUUUGACAACUCUAGAGAUAGAGCCUUCCCCUUCGGGGGACAAAGUGACAGGUGGCGCAUGGUUGUCGUCAGCUCGUGUCGUGAGAUGUUGGGUUAAGUCCCGCAACGAGCGCAACCCUUAAGCUUAGUUGCCAUCAUUAAGUUGGGCACUCUAAGUUGACUGCCGGUGACAAACCGGAGGAAGGUGGGGAUGACGUCAAAUCAUCAUGCCCCUUAUGAUUUGGGCUACACACGUGCUACAAUGGACAAUACAAAGGGCAGCGAAACCGCGAGGUCAAGCAAAUCCCAUAAAGUUGUUCUCAGUUCGGAUUGUAGUCUGCAACUCGACUACAUGAAGCUGGAAUCGCUAGUAAUCGUAGAUCAGCAUGCUACGGUGAAUACGUUCCCGGGUCU